RNA transcript from Phacochoerus africanus (Common warthog), 1800 nucleotides. It is a transcript of the gene named DnaJ heat shock protein family (Hsp40) member C15, with no coding region annotated. The transcript is spliced from 11 exons. The record is from RefSeq and is a predicted model, not a curated record. Lineage: Eukaryota; Metazoa; Chordata; Mammalia; Artiodactyla; Suidae.
CCCGCCGCAGUGAGGCGCCCGGCCCGGUGUGUGGAGUGGAGGUGGGCCCCCAGCUACAGGAGGCUCUCCUGGCACAGUUCCAGGGUGAGAAUCAAGCUGAACCAACCGGUGCUGAAGAAAGAGCCUGAGGGCCUCUGGUUCGCUCCAGUCUCACCCUGGAAGACCUGGUCUCAGCCGGCCAUCGUGCGCUAAGGGGAGGCAGGACACCUGCAGGCCCGGGUACAUGCUGAGCUGCUGCAGUGCGUGCUCCUCUUUUUCUCUGUGCUGGUCUUACGCUAGUAGUGCAGCAGCGCAUGCGCCCUCGGGUGGAAGAUGACCGCCGGGUGCUGCACCGGCCCACGUCUGUCUCCAAGGCCACAGUGGGUGCCUGGCUCACGCACCGCACACACUCAACGCCACGGAUCUUGGCGCCCAGUCCCAAGCGCAGCAUCAAGCGGGAGCAGGACACCUCUGCGCAGCGCAGGCCUCUUCGACCAGCAGCUUCCCAUCUGGCAGCUGCUGUAUCCACUAAAGUGCAGGGGCCCCUUUACAGUGGGCCUAGAGUUGAUGGAGACGAGAGGGGAUCCAGGCAGAGGGCCAGGCAGAAGGCUGGAGGCCCAGUAGCACAGCAGGAUGAAGCCCAAGGAGGAGAGGAUGCUUGGACUCUGACCCUUGGCUUUGAUGAGUUAAGUUGGCCUUCGCCUGGCCGCCUCGUAGGCAGCGCGGCGCUCGGGUCUCCGCCCCCCGCCCCAACCUGGCCGCAGCGGCAUGGCUGGCCACGGCGGCGUCUUACCUGCCGGCGAGGCCCUGCGCUACGCCGAGUACUCGCCGCCCCCAGCGAAGCGGUCGGACACGGACAUCGACCGGGGACUGGUCGCUAUGCAUUUCGGAUCUGGAAACCUCUAGGACAAGUAAUCACAGAAACCGCAAAGAAGAUUUCAGCUCCUACCUUUUCAUCCUACUAUAAAGGAGGAUUUGAACAGAAAAUGAGUAGGCGAGAAGCUAGUCUUAUUUUGGGUGUAAGCCCAUCUGCCGGCAAGGCUAAGAUUAGAGCAGCUCACAGGAGAAUCAUGAUUUUGAAUCACCCAGAUAAAGGUGGAUCUCCUUACUUAGCAACCAAAAUUAAUGAAGCAAAAGACUUACUAGAAGCAACCACCAAACACUGAGGAUGCUCAGGGCCCCUCUGAAGGAGGAAAAGGGAGAACCUUAUAAAAAAUGUCCUGCAGAUGCAAGCUGAGGGAGCAGGAAGGACCUUUUAAAAACAAAGCAGUUCCUUCCCAGAUUCCAGGGAAAGUGAUGAGCUACAGAGGCAGCAGCGAGAAAUGAAAUAUCCAAGGAAGCCAGCUCAUUUCGCACAGUGGGAACCACGCCAUCCACCGGACACCCUGCACCUCGCCCGGCACCUCCUGGACAAAGGCCUCUGGCUGGAAAUUUGAUGGCAGUGAGUAAAUGUGUCAGCACUGAGCCUCUCUCCUAACGGAAAGGCAGCCCAAAGAGCAUAUCCUGUUAACACGAGGUCAGCAUCAUCUACUUGCCGAAAAUAUGCCAUGAAUUAUGAGCCAAAAUCUUAUUGAUGAUGGAGUUAGACACAUUAGGACAUGAAUAUAAUUUAUUAGCUGGAAAAGCUGAGAAGAUUCCCUGGGCUCUUUUUUUAGGUGGAAUCUAAGUGAUCUGGAUCACUGCCCACCAGUGAAAUUGCUGGGCAUGGUAGACAAAGAAAAUGUUCCUUCUAAUGAUUUUUAUGAGCUGAGUAGCUAUUGUUCCCAGCUGAGUGCUCUUUUCCUUUUUUUUUUAUUGUUGCUGAGCAAAAGAAUUUAUAAA